AGAGUUUGAUUAUGGCUCAGGACGAACGCUGGCGGCGUGCCUAAUACAUGCAAGUCGAACGCUCUCGACCUUCGGGUCAUAUGAGAGAGUGGCGAACGGGUGCGUAACACGUGAGAAACCUGCCCUGAAGACGGGAAUAACUCGAGGAAACUCGAGCUAAUACCCGAUGCCCUCCUUGGACCGCAUGGUCCGUUGAGGAAAUGCUCCGGCGCUUCAGGAGGGUCUCGCGGCCUAUCAGCUUGUUGGUGAGGUAACGGCUCACCAAGGCAUCGACGGGUAGCUGGUCUGAGAGGACGAUCAGCCACACUGGGACUGAGACACGGCCCAGACUCCUACGGGAGGCAGCAGUAGGGAAUCUUGCGCAAUGGGCGAAAGCCUGACGCAGCAACGCCGCGUGGGGGAUGAAGGCCUUCGGGUUGUAAACCCCUUUCAGCAGGGACGAAAAUGACGGUACCUGCAGAAGAAGCCCCGGCCAACUACGUGCCAGCAGCCGCGGUAACACGUAGGGGGCAAGCGUUGUCCGGAUUUAUUGGGCGUAAAGAGCUCGUAGGCGGCUCGGUAAGUCGGGUGUGAAAUUUCAGGGCUCAACCCUGAAACGCCACCUGAUACUGCCGUGGCUAGAGUUCGGUAGAGGAGCGUGGAAUUCCUGGUGUAGCGGUGAAAUGCGCAGAUAUCAGGAGGAACACCAACGGCGAAGGCAGCGCUCUGGGCCGAUACUGACGCUGAGGAGCGAAAGCAUGGGGAGCAAACAGGAUUAGAUACCCUGGUAGUCCAUGCCGUAAACGUUGGGCACUAGGUGUGGGGCGUAAUCAACGCGUUCCGUGCCGUAGCUAACGCAUUAAGUGCCCCGCCUGGGGAGUACGGCCGCAAGGCUAAAACUCAAAGGAAUUGACGGGGGCCCGCACAAGCGGCGGAGCAUGUUGCUUAAUUCGAGGCAACGCGAAGAACCUUACCUGGGCUUGAAAUCCCGAGAAUCUGAUAGAGAUAGCUGAGUGCCCCUCGGGGAAUGUAGAGACAGGCGCUGCAUGGCUGUCGUCAGCUCGUGUCGUGAGAUGUUGGGUUAAGUCUCGCAACGAGCGCAACCCCUAUCUUUAGUUGCCAGCAUUAAGUUGGGCACUCUAGAGAGACUGCCUGGGUUAACCAGGAGGAAGGUGGGGAUGACGUCAAGUCCUCAUGGCCCUUAUGUCCAGGGCUACACACGUAAUACAAUGGUCGGUACAAAGGGAAGCGAACUCGCGAGGGGGAGCAAAUCUCAAAAAGCCGAUCUCAGUCCGGAUUGAAGUCUGCAACUCGACUUCAUGAAGUUGGAAUCGCUAGUAAUCGCGGAUCAGCACGCCGCGGUGAAUACGUUCCCGGGCCUUGUACACACCGCCCGUCACACCACGGGAGUUGAUCUUACCUGAAGUCGUGGCCCCAACAGCUUGCUGAGGGGAGCGCCUACGGUCGGACCGAUGACUGGGGUGAAGUCGUAACAAGGUAACC
RNAcentral lists this ribosomal RNA (1482 nucleotides) under uncultured prokaryote. Its description in RNAcentral is "partial 16S ribosomal RNA". It matches the Rfam family "Bacterial small subunit ribosomal RNA". The record is from RNAcentral.